GGGGAUUUGGCUCAGUGGUAGAGCGCUUGCCUAGGAAGCACAAGGUCCUGGGUUCAAUCCCCAGUCCCG
RNAcentral lists this transfer RNA (69 nucleotides) under Rattus norvegicus (Norway rat). It matches the Rfam family "tRNA". Rfam says of the family: Transfer RNA (tRNA) molecules are approximately 80 nucleotides in length. Their secondary structure includes four short double-helical elements and three loops (D, anti-codon, and T loops). Further hydrogen bonds mediate the characteristic L-shaped molecular structure. tRNAs have two regions of fundamental functional importance: the anti-codon, which is responsible for specific mRNA codon recognition, and the 3' end, to which the tRNAs corresponding amino acid is attached (by aminoacyl-tRNA synthetases). tRNAs cope with the degeneracy of the genetic code in two manners: having more than one tRNA (with a specific anti-codon) for a particular amino acid; and 'wobble' base-pairing, i.e. permitting non-standard base-pairing at the 3rd anti-codon position. The record is from Rfam by way of RNAcentral. Lineage: Eukaryota; Metazoa; Chordata; Mammalia; Rodentia; Muridae.